GAUGAUGGGCAUGCGUUGUAUUAGCUGGUUGGUGAGGUAACGGCUCACCAAGGCGACGAUACAUAGGGGGACUGAGAGGUUAACCCCCCACAUUGGUACUGAGACACGGACCAAACUCCUACGGGAGGCAGCAGUGAGGAAUAUUGGUCAAUGGACGCAAGUCUGAACCAGCCAUGCCGCGUGCAGGAUGACGGCUCUAUGAGUUGUAAACUGCUUUUGUACGAGGGUAAACCCCGAUACGUGUAUCGGGUUGAAAGUAUCGUACGAAUAAGGAUCGGCUAACUCCGUGCCAGCAGCCGCGGUAAUACGGAGGAUCCGAGCGUUAUCCGGAUUUAUUGGGUUUAAAGGGUGCGUAGGCGGUUUGAUAAGUUAGAGGUGAAAUGUCGGGGCUCAACCCCGAAACUGCCUCUAAUACUGUUGGACUAGAGAAUAGUUGCGGUAGGCGGAAUGUAUGGUGUAGCGGUGAAAUGCUUAGAGAUCAUACAGAACACCGAUUGCGAAGGCAGCUUACCAAACUAUAUCUGACGUUGAGGCACGAAAGCGUGGGUAGCAAACAGGAUUAGAUACCCUGGUAGUCCACGCAGUAAACGAUGAUAACUCGUUGUCGGCGAUACACAGUCG
Molecule: ribosomal RNA, 621 nt
Filed under: uncultured bacterium
Lineage: Bacteria
Description: bacterial SSU rRNA
Rfam family: Bacterial small subunit ribosomal RNA
Source: RNAcentral